GGGUAUAAUGUUGGAUUAACAAUUAAACUAGUGUGCAUGUCUGCGUGGAGGUAGAAGACCCACGGGUUGUGAACUUCUUUUUCUAGAUAUGAAGAAGCAACAACGGUAUAUGGGGAAGAAGCAUCGGCUAACUCUGUGCUAGCAGCCGCGGAAUUACAGAGGAUGCAAACAUUAUCC
RNAcentral lists this non-coding RNA (177 nucleotides) under Nicotiana sylvestris (wood tobacco). Its description in RNAcentral is "Bacterial small subunit ribosomal RNA". It matches the Rfam family "Bacterial small subunit ribosomal RNA", at positions 347 to 546 of the family's 1533-position model. Lineage: Eukaryota; Viridiplantae; Streptophyta; Magnoliopsida; Solanales; Solanaceae. The record is from Rfam by way of RNAcentral.